AAGGUUGGCUAAUCCUGGUCGGACAUCAGGAGGUUAGUGCAAUGGCAUAAGCCAGCUUGACUGCGAGCGUGACGGCGCGAGCAGGUGCGAAAGCAGGUCAUAGUGAUCCGGUGGUUCUGAAUGGAAGGGCCAUCGCUCAACGGAUAAAAGGUACUCCGGGGAUAACAGGCUGAUACCGCCCAAGAGUUCAUAUCGACGGCGGUGUUUGGCACCUCGAUGUCGGCUCAUCACAUCCUGGGGCUGAAGUAGGUCCCAAGGGUAUGGCUGUUCGCCAUUUAAAGUGGUACGCGAGCUGGGUUUAGAACGUCGUGAGACAGUUCGGUCCCUAUCUGCCGUGGGCGCUGGAGAACUGAGGGGGGCUGCUCCUAGUACGAGAGGACCGGAGUGGACGCAUCACUGGUGUUCGGGUUGUCAUGCCAAUGGCACUGCCCGGUAGCUAAAUGCGGAAGAGAUAAGUGCUGAAAGCAUCUAAGCACGAAACUUGCCCCGAG
Molecule: ribosomal RNA, 491 nt
Filed under: Salmonella enterica
Lineage: Bacteria; Pseudomonadati; Pseudomonadota; Gammaproteobacteria; Enterobacterales; Enterobacteriaceae
Also listed under: 2 other names
Description: partial 23S ribosomal RNA
Rfam family: Bacterial large subunit ribosomal RNA
Source: RNAcentral